CGCUGUCACUCCUACGGGAGGCAGCAGUGGGGAAUAUUGCACAAUGGGGGAAACCCUGAUGCAGCCAUGCCGCGUGUGUGAAGAAGGCCUUCGGGUUGUAAAGCACUUUCAGUAGGGAGGAAGGUAGUGUAGUUAACACCUGCACUAUUUGACGUUACCUACAGAAGAAGCACCGGCUAACUCCGUGCCAGCAGCCGCGGUAAUACGGAGGGUGCGAGCGUUAAUCGGAAUUACUGGGCGUAAAGCGCAUGCAGGCGGCCUGUUAAGUCAGAUGUGAAAGCCCGGGGCUUAACCUCGGAAUUGCAUUUGAAACUGGCAGGCUAGAGUCUUGUAGAGGGGGUAGAAUUUCAGGUGUAGCGGUGAAAAUGCGUAGAGAUCUGAAGGAAUACCAGUGGCGAAGGCGGCCCCCUGGACAAAGACUGACGCUCAGAUGCGAAAGCGUGGGGAGCAAACAGGAUUAGAUACCCCUGGUAG
RNAcentral lists this ribosomal RNA (474 nucleotides) under uncultured bacterium. Its description in RNAcentral is "bacterial SSU rRNA". It matches the Rfam family "Bacterial small subunit ribosomal RNA", at positions 328 to 793 of the family's 1533-position model. The record is from RNAcentral.